RNAcentral lists this long non-coding RNA (262 nucleotides) under Bos taurus (domestic cattle). RNAcentral's name for it is "long non-coding RNA NONBTAT021491". The record is from RNAcentral. Lineage: Eukaryota; Metazoa; Chordata; Mammalia; Artiodactyla; Bovidae.
AAAAUGCAAGUCUAACCAUUUUAUUGUGCUCAAUAAAGUAAAAACAUACAGAGGAAGAUUGUCACAUUGGAUUUUAUAAUGCAGGUUUUAUAAUAGGUAGUACAGACUGAUAUUAAUAAGAUACAACUGAUUUUAUACAGCAAAAUUUGUAAGUACAUUUACAACUGGUAAGAUACAACCAGGAAAAGGAUAAAGCGAAGUGCAGAGUAGCACUGAUGUCCAUAUAGUCUUCUUUUACACAUUUUGACAGGGGUUGGUGAAC